RNAcentral lists this ribosomal RNA (301 nucleotides) under uncultured bacterium. Its description in RNAcentral is "partial 16S ribosomal RNA". It matches the Rfam family "Bacterial small subunit ribosomal RNA", at positions 509 to 809 of the family's 1533-position model. The record is from RNAcentral.
CAGCAGCCGCGGUAAUACGAAGGGGGCUAGCGUUGUUAGGAUUUACUGGGCGUAAAGCGCACGUAGGCGGAUCGAUCAGUCAGGGGUGAAAUCCCAGAGCUCAACUCUGGAACUGCCUUUGAUACUGUCGAUCUGGAGUAUGGAAGAGGUGAGUGGAAUUCCGAGUGUAGAGGUGAAAUUCGUAGAUAUUCGGAGGAACACCAGUGGCGAAGGCGGCUCACUGGUCCAUUACUGACGCUGAGGUGCGAAAGCGUGGGGAGCAAACAGGAUUAGAUACCCCAGUAGUCCCUGUCUCUUAUAA